Molecule: ribosomal RNA, 251 nt
Filed under: uncultured prokaryote
Description: partial 16S rRNA
Rfam family: Bacterial small subunit ribosomal RNA
Source: RNAcentral
ACGUAGGGGGCAAGCGUUGUCCGGAAUGAUUGGGCGUAAAGGGUGCGUAGGCGGCCUGGUAAGUCUGGAGUGAAAGUCGUGCUUUUAAGGUGGGAAUUGCUUUGGUUAAUGUCAGGCUUGAGUGCAGGAGAGGUAAGUGGAAUUCCCGGUGUAGCGGUGAAAUGCUUUGAGAUCGGGAGGAUCACCAUUGUCGAAGUCGACUUACUGGACUGUAACUUACACUGAGGCGUGAAAGUUUGUAGAGCAAACAG